RNAcentral lists this RNase P RNA (384 nucleotides) under Nannocystaceae bacterium. Its description in RNAcentral is "RNase P RNA component class A". It matches the Rfam family "Bacterial RNase P class A". Rfam says of the family: Ribonuclease P (RNase P) is a ubiquitous endoribonuclease, found in archaea, bacteria and eukarya as well as chloroplasts and mitochondria. Its best characterised activity is the generation of mature 5'-ends of tRNAs by cleaving the 5'-leader elements of precursor-tRNAs. The record is from RNAcentral. Lineage: Bacteria; Pseudomonadati; Myxococcota; Nannocystales; Nannocystaceae.
CGAGCGGGACAAGGCGAUCGCGGCGUGACGCGCGAGCGGCCACGUCGAGGAAAGUCCGGGCUCCACAGGGCAGGGUGCUGGCGCAGGCCAGUCGGGGUGACCCGAAGGAAAGUGCCACAGAGAACAGACCGCCCGCGUCCGCGCGGGUAAGGGUGAAACGGUGUGGUAAGAGCACACCGGGUCUUCGGCGACGAAGACCGCAUGGUAAACCCCAUCCGGAGCAAGGCCGAGCAGGGGCAGGCGGGUGCGAGCGUCGCGAGACGUUCGAGGGCUCGCCAGGGGCGGCCCGCCCCGCCUCGGGUAGCGCCGCCAAGAGGAAUGAUCGCCACCCGCGAAGAGCAAUCGACGCGGGGACAGAACCCGGCUUACGACCCGUCUCGACCG